This 497-nucleotide ribosomal RNA is filed under the name uncultured bacterium. RNAcentral describes it as "partial 16S ribosomal RNA". It matches the Rfam family "Bacterial small subunit ribosomal RNA", at positions 28 to 507 of the family's 1533-position model. The record is from RNAcentral.
GAUGAACGCUGGCGGCGUGCCUAAUACAUGCAAGUCGAGCGAACAGACGAGGAGCUUGCUCCUCUGACGUUAGCGGCGGACGGGUGAGGAACACGUGGAUAACCUACCUAUAAGACUGGGAUAACUUCGGGAAACCGGAGCUAAUACCGGAUAACAUGUUGAACCGCAUGGUGCAACAGUGAAAGACGGUCUUUCUGUCGCUUAUAGAUGAAUCCGCGCCUCAUUAGCUAGUUGGUAAGGUAACGGCUUACCAAGGCAACGAUGGGUAACCGCCCCCAGCGGGUGGUCGGCCACCCGGGAACUGAGACACGGUCCAGACUCCUGCGGUGGGACGCAGUAGGGACUCUUACGCGAGGGGCGAAUGCCUGACGGAGCACCGCCGCGUGAGUGAAGAAGGUCUUCGGACCGUAAAACUCUGUUAUUAGGGAAGAACUAAUGUGUAAUUAACUAUGCACGUCUUGACGGUACCUGAUCAGAAAGCCCCGGCUAACUACGUG